CGCCGGCAAGCCAGCUCCCACAGGGACUGCACAGGUGCUGAAUUUUGUGGGGUCCCUGUGGGAGCUGGCUUGCCGGCG
Molecule: microRNA precursor, 78 nt
Filed under: Pseudomonas sp. RV120224-01c
Lineage: Bacteria; Pseudomonadati; Pseudomonadota; Gammaproteobacteria; Pseudomonadales; Pseudomonadaceae
Also listed under: 1 other name
Description: microRNA mir-927
Source: RNAcentral